UGGGCGCGCUCGGCGACCGGAUCGGCCGCCGGCGGCUGCUGCUGGCCGGCGCCGCCGCGUUCGGGAUCGCCUCGUGCCUGGCC
Molecule: transfer RNA, 83 nt
Filed under: Actinomadura citrea
Lineage: Bacteria; Bacillati; Actinomycetota; Actinomycetes; Streptosporangiales; Thermomonosporaceae
Description: tRNA-Ser
Source: RNAcentral